UCUAAGUUGGCAGAAAUCAAUGCAAUGAGCUUAAAACUCAAACAUAAAGAAAUUUAUUUAGAU
This 63-nucleotide transfer RNA is filed under the name Armillifer armillatus. RNAcentral's name for it is "tRNA-Leu". Lineage: Eukaryota; Metazoa; Arthropoda; Ichthyostraca; Porocephalida; Armilliferidae. The record is from RNAcentral.